RNAcentral lists this unclassified non-coding RNA (219 nucleotides) under uncultured Thelephoraceae. Its description in RNAcentral is "sequence contains ITS2". Lineage: Eukaryota; Fungi; Basidiomycota; Agaricomycetes; Thelephorales; Thelephoraceae. The record is from RNAcentral.
ACACCUCAACUCUCAUGGUUUGCCAUGAUGAGCUUGGACUUUGGGGGUCUUGCUGGCCUUAUGGUCGGCUCCUCUUAAAUUAAUCAGCUUGCCAGUGUUUGGUGGCAUCACAGGUGUGAUAACUAUCUACGCUUGUGGUUUUCCAUCAGGUAACCUUCAGUGAUGGAGGUUCGCUGGGGCUCAUAAAGGUCUCUCCUCAGCGAGGACAGUUUUUUGAAC